RNAcentral lists this ribosomal RNA (245 nucleotides) under uncultured archaeon. RNAcentral describes it as "partial 16S ribosomal RNA". It matches the Rfam family "Archaeal small subunit ribosomal RNA", at positions 474 to 719 of the family's 1478-position model. The record is from RNAcentral.
UACCAGCACCCCGAGUGGUCGGGACGAUUAUUGGGCCUAAAGCAUCCGUAGCCGGUUCUUCAAGUCUUCCGUUAAAUCCAGCCGCUCAACGGAUGGGCUGCGGAAGAUACUAAAGGACUAGGAGGCGGGAGAGGCAAGCGGUACUCAGUGGGUAGGGGUAAAAUCCUUUGAUCCAUUGAAGACCACCAGUGGCGAAGGCGGCUUGCCAGAACGCGCUCGACGGUGAGGGAUGAAAGCUGGGGGAG